RNAcentral lists this ribosomal RNA (885 nucleotides) under Micrococcus sp. Its description in RNAcentral is "bacterial SSU rRNA". It matches the Rfam family "Bacterial small subunit ribosomal RNA", at positions 38 to 927 of the family's 1533-position model. The record is from RNAcentral. Lineage: Bacteria; Bacillati; Actinomycetota; Actinomycetes; Micrococcales; Micrococcaceae.
AAUGGGGGGGCUUCGUAGGCUAAUCAUGAAGUGGACGGUGAAGCCCGUUUGCUGGGUGGAUUAGUGGCGGGCGGGUGAGUAACUCGUGAGUAACCUGCCCUUAACUCUGGGGUAAGCCUGGGAAACUGGGUCUAAUACCGGAUAGGAGCGUCCACCGCAUGGUGGGUGUUGGAAAGAUUUAUCGGUUUUGGAUGGACUCGCGGCCUAUCAGCUUGUUGGUGAGGUAAUGGCUCACCAAGGCGACGACGGGUAGCCGGCCUGAGAGGGUGACCGGCCACACUGGGACUGAGACACGGCCCAGACUCCUACGGGAGGCAGCAGUGGGGAAUAUUGCACAAUGGGCGCAAGCCUGAUGCAGCGACGCCGCGUGAGGGAUGACGGCCUUCGGGUUGUAAACCUCUUUCAGUAGGGAAGAAGCGAAAGUGACGGUACCUGCAGAAGAAGCACCGGCUAACUACGUGCCAGCAGCCGCGGUAAUACGUAGGGUGCGAGCGUUAUCCGGAAUUAUUGGGCGUAAAGAGCUCGUAGGCGGUUUGUCGCGUCUGUCGUGAAAGUCCGGGGCUUAACCCCGGAUCUGCGGUGGGUACGGGCAGACUAGAGUGCAGUAGGGGAGACUGGAAUUCCUGGUGUAGCGGUGGAAUGCGCAGAUAUCAGGAGGAACACCGAUGGCGAAGGCAGGUCUCUGGGCUGUAACUGACGCUGAGGAGCGAAAGCAUGGGGAGCGAACAGGAUUAGAUACCCUGGUAGUCCAUGCCGUAAACGUUGGGCACUAGGUGUGGGGACCAUUCCACGGUUUCCGCGCCGCAGCUAACGCAUUAAGUGCCCCGCCUGGUGAGUACCGCCCGUAACGCUAAAACCUCACAUGAAUUCACCUGUUGUCCCUCA